UUUGAAUCUAUUACUUGCUUAAGCACAAAGUCGGGCACCAGAUUCUUCAACAAAACUUUUAGCAAAUAUACAAUAAUCUUUCCAGAUAUUAUUGGAGAGAUGAUUUUCAAGAGCACGAAUUCAGAAUCAAAUCUACUUGUUGAAUAAUAUGAGAACCCAAGUGGGCAAGUUUUAUCCUUAUAAAUUGUGCCUAUCAAGCGUUCGUUAUAAGGCAAGACAGAAGUGAUCAAAUACCCAGCAAAAGUAAGAAAGCAUUAAUCAAUGUCUAGGCAUGCCAUUAAUGGGGGCAGUCGGCAAACGGUUGAGUCUGCACCACCAAGACUAAUUCGGGUAGAGAGGCGGCCAAGCAUGGAGAAGAAGUUAGCUACCAUUAAAGAAGAUGAAUGCAGCAGUGGUGAUCAGCUUCAAAAUUUCCAUGGAAAUCGUGCUGUAGCAUUUGCAUCUUCUUCCUCGAAGACCCUUAACACUACAAAACACUAUGCUUGUAAUUAGUCUAGUUGUUUACGAUCAAUAAGGAUUUUCCAUUCGUACGUACGUUCUCAAUCAUGGAGUGAAUGCAUGGUAAAUAUGUGAUAACUCAAAGCAACUUUGUAACUGUUGUUUGAAACCUUAAGGACAUGAUUAAUUAUCUCAAUCCUUGAUCAUGUCAUGUUUUGGAGGUUAUUGUUCAUUUUCUUAUUUAUGUCGAGAGUUAUAGAACCAAUCAUGACAUGAGCUGCAGUUGCAUCUUUAAUUUUUAGGCCCGGAGGUUUUCGUUGAGUUUCUAAGGCUGGGUGAGGGUGCUGAGCUGUACCUCAGCCAUCUUCUUUGCCAAAGAGAUAGAAAUUAACGACAGGAGGCUGCUGAGGAGAGAGAAAAUCUCAGCAUGUUGAGGACCCGGCACAAUGUUGUCAAGCUCGACACAAGGGGCACUUCUAAGGGGUUUCCGGUGUGUCACCGGCAACACCUAUUUUUUCUGUCCGCAAUAGAAAAAUUUUCGAUUUUUUAAUUUUUUUACUUAUUUUUCAUGUAUUAAUACCUAUUUCAUCCCGGCAACAUCUACUAUGCAUUCUUGUGUCCUCCUCUGCUCCACACCAGCUUCUCCCUUACCCACAUCAGCUACCACAUCAUCAUACACUCCCACCCUCGCCCGGCCUAAGAUGUGGAAAAAGCUUUCUUAUGGUAAGAUGGUCAAUGCGUAGAACUCAGUUAAAUCUACUAAUAGUUUGAAUGAUAGUGACCCGAUCGACCAAAUAUAUCACGAUUUUGCUUAUGACUAAUUAAUAUAAAUAGAUAGUUCACCACAACAAAACGAUUUUUCACACAAGUAUAUUGGCAACGAAUUUCAACAGGCUAAUGGAUUCAAGAGUAGUUUAAGAUUAGAUUAGAUUUGUCAUUCCACUAAUAAUAAUAAUAAUCAAAAUAAUAAUAUUUUGUUUUUUUUUUUAAGUUAAAUAUAUAAUAAAUUAAGAGCAAAUAAGAAUUAUUAAUAUUCUUAUAUAUCUCAUUAGUUAAUUAACAUUAUCAUUAUUAUUAAUUAAUGUUAUUGCAAUUAUUGAUAUUAUUAUUUUUUAUCAUCAUUAUCAUUAUUAUUAUUAUUAUUAUUAUUAUUAUUAUAUAUAAUUAAAUCACAACAUGCUUAUGAACAGUACCCGAGUUGGGUACUGUUAAAACUCGGUUGACUCAACUUCUAGAUUCCACCGGGUUAAUCCAUCCACCGACUCCACCGCCUUUUUACUUCUCAUAUUCGAUCUGUUUGAUUAUUUGCGUUUGUGACAUCACCUCACCACCGCUUUAAUAUGUUUUGUCCUUCUAUUGGAGCGCUUUCCACCUUCUCCACCAUGAUAUAUGCAACUGGAAAGAGAUCAUCGAUCGUCGUCGCCGUCUCGACUAACACCACACGACCACCUUCACACCUGCUUCACCCCUAUCGUACCCCACCGUCGACGGUUUUCUGCAAGGCGCAUCGCUACCCAACAACUUUGUCGACGACGUUGCUAAGUUCGGUAACCUUGACCUUCUCAGCCAUCGGUAACGUCGAUCCUCUGAACAAUAUUCUAAAAUUAGUCAAAAGAUUUCAACAUUGAACCGCCUCUUUCAAUCUCAAUUUAUGAUUUCUAUGGGAUGAGAGGAGCAAGAAAGGGAUAACGACAGAUGGGUUUUCUCAAUAAAUUUCUAUCCCUCUCUCUGAUUUGACAUUGCCUUCUCAGUUUGACAGGCGUUUUAUUUCAAUUUGAUCAGUUGAAUCGCAUUUAUCACUGCUGGAACAAAGGAAUCUUCACAAGAAAGAGGUUAGGCCUAAGAAAAGGUUUGUAUUUCAGCUGCUUCAUUCUACAAAUCUUCUUCAACGUUUGUGUUUCCUUUCUUUUUUCAUACAUUUCUAAUUCUUGAUUGUUUGCUGUGUUAUUUGAAAUAAGGUGGUUAAUAGAAUCCUCAAAACGAGUCUGAAUUUCAACGUGAAAGGGAAACCAAAUAGAUUUCACUUCUAUUUAUUGUUGUGAGUUUACUUUGAGGCAAAUCGUAACUGUGUUUGUAAAAGCUAGAUUGGGCUGCUUAUUUGGAUGAAAACUAAAAUUGUUAAGUUACAGAGUGUUUGAUUUUCGUAUAUAGAUAGAAUAGAAAAAUGUUCAGAAAACAAUCCAGAAACGACAAGGGUUCUCAUUAGUUCUGUAUAUUGCCUUUAAGGUGUUUGUCAAAAUGCAUACUUUAUUGUACUAUGCCUACUUUAAGGUGUUUGUCAAAAUGCCUACUUUAUUGUACUAUUUUUUUUUUUUUUUAAGAUUAAAGAUACUUAUAAACAACAAAAACCAACAGGGGUAUUAUACUAUUUUACAAUCUAUGAAUUAAAACAUUUGAAUCUGUAAUCGCAUAUAUAGGUUAUCAAAUGCAUAGACCAAAUUAAAGAUCUUAUGAAGUGUGUUCGUGGCUGCCAUAUAAAGGAUUAAAACCAUCUCUAAGUUUAAAAAAAUUACCAAAAAAAACCCUAAUUUUUUUUACCAAACCGGGUCUUUUUGGUUCUUUUUAGUUCUUUUCCAGUUCUUUUGGUUCCAAAUCAAAUUACCCAUAAUUUUUGGUAUUUUUUUUUUCUGAUUCCGUAACCCACAAUAGUAGAAGGUUGUAACAGAAACAAAGAUUGUCAAAGUAUUGUUGUUCGGUAUAUUUACAUUAUUAUAACCCAUAAUAUUAGUGUACUAAUAAGUUUUUGUUGUUUUUUUUAAUUGAAAGUUAACUUUGAGCAACUUUUAGUUGAAGGUCAUUUUUUGAUUUGCAUAGGUAGGAAACUUUUUGGUUAAAGGUUACACAACCGUCUAGAGCAUUACCCGAUCUAUUUCCUCUUUAUCUUUUUUAAUCUUGAAACGAAUUAAAAAAAAUACUGAAGAGGGUUUAGAGCUUGAUUUUCUCUUUUGAUGAGCAUCACUUAGAAACACAAGUCAAGACCGCCAUACAAGUUGAGGCAACUUCUCAGGAAAUAUUUGUUGCUGCAGAAGCUAAGCUUACUGAUUUCAAACAGAUACUGGAAAGAUAAAAAAGAGAAAAGUAUAGACACUUGAAUGUAUUAUGGCCCAAGCAUGUGAAAAAUGAAACCUAUAUUUUCGAGAUUCAGACUAUUAUUGCCCAUGCAUAUGAUGAUAUCCAAACAGAAAAUUAAUAACUUUUGUAGCAAAUAAUCGAGAGAGGUAACUAUAACAUUCAGGACAUAUCACAUGUUAUCAGAAAGAAUAGAGAAAACUUCUUGUAAGUUGGACGACCAGAGGAAAUGAAGUUUGGUCCAAACCCGAGUCUAUUCAUCUAAAAAAUCAAUCAAAAUUUAUUAGGUUAUGCUAAAAGUCAUCACAGAUGACAGAUGAAUAUAGAAACUCUCCUGUGGGUACACAAUCGGAUCAGUUCCAUCUUUUCUUAGAAUGUUAUUCAUGUUGUCAAUGUCUUUUGGAUAUGUAAUGUAUCAACUUUCAAUACAAUAUUUCUAAAAGGUCCCCCUUGACAAAAAAAAAAAACAACAGCUAAUAAGCACCUAUCUAACCCAUGCAACGCAUGGGAUCUACACUAGUUAUACAAUUAAUUGCAAACAUCCUUAUGAACAGUGUCUCUUGGCUUAGUAAAUUUUUUGGUUUCGGCAUAUAUUAUUUAUCGUUGUGCCUCUAUCUACCUCUUUUCCUCUAACUCCAUUGAAACAAACUCUUUACGGGGUGUUUGGGAUUGCUUUUAAAACAAUUUUUGUCUUAUAACUUUUCCAAAAAAGUUAAAAAAUGGCUAAAAGAUAUUUGGGUAAUGCAAAAGAUCUUUUAAAAUAAUUUUUUAUGUUGGAGGAAAAAUUAAUGUUUCAAAAGUCAUAAAAUCCUAUCUUUUUGUGACUUUUAAGACUUUUUAACAUGAAAAUAUGACUUUUACUCUAAAAGCAAAUGCAAACACAUUUUAAAAACUAUCUUUUGAAAAAAAUCACUGGCCAAAAAGUCAUUUUAUAAAAAGGACUUUUAACAUCAAAAAGUAAUCUCAAACACUCCCUUCCUCUAACUCCAUUGAAACAAACAAGCCUUCAAUCCUUCUAGCAUAUGAAGUACGAACAAUACCCAUGCUCUUCGGAGAUGAAGACAGUCAUCGAGGUGCUCUCCCACCGUCAAUCUCAUCCAAUCUACUUCUUCCACGAUAGGCACUCUCUGAAAAAAAACAUACUCAUAUCGGAAAUUGGUAUCAAUUCUUGAAGUCAAUUUAAUUUCCAACUAGUGUUUGGACACGGAAGAGUGUUUAAGCAGAUUACAUUGCAAAAAUUAACAGUGUAUCAAACACUCAAAAGCUGAAAGAGUCCACUGCUAUAAAAGCCCCUUAUUGAAGCAACACUAUGGGAAAAGGUAGCUACCCCUUUCAACGCAGAAGUUAUGAAACCUUUAACACCACCAAUCCUUAUCACACUAACGUCGAUGAAAGUCAAGGAAGACUUCAAAUAAGCUCCACUAUCGGAACUUACAUCUAUUUGAAUCAUGUUAUUGACGAAACAAAAUCUUUAAUAUCUAGAUUCAACCAACCAAACCUGCAAAAUGUUGUCACGUAAUUGACCUUCAAAAAAAGAAACCUUAAUAACAAUAAGCAAUACAAAUGGGACAAAAAUUGCAGAUUAGGGAACACGUUUCACCUAUACUGCAGCGGUUUCAAGCAUAAAUGAGAGUCGCGGAUGUAUGACAUGUAGAAAGAAACUGCAACCACGCGUGCAUUGUGCAUUGUGAUUUCAUAUUGUCACGUUCAUAUUUUUUUUGAUUCUCUAGUACAUGCUUUUCAAAUAUUAGAUUUGUAACGGAUAGAUUUAUGUUUAAGUGAGUUUUUAUUUUUAAAUACUUCAUUUGUAUUAUUUAUUUGAAAAA
This is a non-coding RNA of Lactuca sativa (garden lettuce), 5333 nucleotides long. Lineage: Eukaryota; Viridiplantae; Streptophyta; Magnoliopsida; Asterales; Asteraceae. The record is from RefSeq and is a predicted model, not a curated record.